Molecule: ribosomal RNA, 331 nt
Filed under: Muntiacus muntjak (muntjak)
Lineage: Eukaryota; Metazoa; Chordata; Mammalia; Artiodactyla; Cervidae
Description: partial small subunit ribosomal RNA
Rfam family: Bacterial small subunit ribosomal RNA
Source: RNAcentral
AACAAAACUAUUCGCCAGAGUACUACCGGCAACAGCUUAAAACUCAAAGGACUUGGCGGUGCUUUAUACCCUUCUAGAGGAGCCUGUUCUAUAAUCGAUAAACCCCGAUAGACCUCACCAUUCCUCGCUAAUACAGUCUAUAUACCGCCAUCUUCAGCAAACCCUAAAAAGGAAUAAAAGUAAGCGCAAUCAUAACACAUAAAAACGUUAGGUCAAGGUGUAACCUAUGGAAUGGAAAGAAAUGGGCUACAUUUUCUAAUACAAGAACAACUCACUACGAAAGUUAUCAUGAAAUUAAUAACCAAAGGAGGAUUUAGCAGUAAACUAAGAA